GACGAACGCUGGCGGCGUGCUUAACACAUGCAAGUCGAACGCUGAAGCUCAGCUUUUGUUGGGUGGAUGAGUGGCGAACGGGUGAGUAACACGUGAGUAACCUGCCUCCUUCUUUGGGAUAACGCCCGGAAACGGGUGCUAAUACUGGAUAUUCACUGGUCUUCGCAUGGGGGUUGGUGGAAAGGGUUUUUCUGGUGGGGGAUGGGCUCGCGGCCUAUCAGCUUGUUGGUGGGGUGAUGGCCUACCAAGGCUUUGACGGGUAGCCGGCCUGAGAGGGUGACCGGUCACAUUGGGACUGAGAUACGGCCCAGACUACUGCGGGAGGCAGCAGUGGGGAAUAUUGCAGGAUGGGCGCAAGCCUGAUGCAGCGACGCCGCGUGAGGGAUGGAGGCCGUCGGGUUGUGAACCUCUUUCGCUCAUGGUCAAGCCGCGACAAUGGUUGUGGUGAGGGUAGUGGGUAAAGAAGCGCCGGCUAACUACGUG
RNAcentral lists this ribosomal RNA (483 nucleotides) under uncultured bacterium. RNAcentral's name for it is "partial 16S ribosomal RNA". It matches the Rfam family "Bacterial small subunit ribosomal RNA", at positions 28 to 507 of the family's 1533-position model. The record is from RNAcentral.